GGAGGGUUAGUCCUAAUCGGUAAGGCAGCAGACUUGAAAUCUGCCGGGCUUUAUGCCCUUGGGGGUUCGAGUCCCUCACCCUCCG
Molecule: transfer RNA, 85 nt
Filed under: bacterium
Lineage: Bacteria
Description: tRNA-Ser
Rfam family: tRNA
About the family: Transfer RNA (tRNA) molecules are approximately 80 nucleotides in length. Their secondary structure includes four short double-helical elements and three loops (D, anti-codon, and T loops). Further hydrogen bonds mediate the characteristic L-shaped molecular structure. tRNAs have two regions of fundamental functional importance: the anti-codon, which is responsible for specific mRNA codon recognition, and the 3' end, to which the tRNAs corresponding amino acid is attached (by aminoacyl-tRNA synthetases). tRNAs cope with the degeneracy of the genetic code in two manners: having more than one tRNA (with a specific anti-codon) for a particular amino acid; and 'wobble' base-pairing, i.e. permitting non-standard base-pairing at the 3rd anti-codon position.
Source: RNAcentral